CCUACGGGUGGCAGCAGUGAGGAAUAUUGGUCAAUGGGCGAGAGCCUGAACCAGCCAAGUCGCGUGAAGGAUGAAGGAGCUAUGGUUUGUAAACUUCUUUUAUAGGGGAAAAAAGUGAGGAACGUGUUCCUUUUUGUAUGUACCAUAUGAAUAAGCAUAGGAUAACUCCGUGCCAGCAGCCGCGGUAAUACGGAGGAUGCGAGCGUUAUGCGGAUUUAUUGGGUUUAAAGGGUGCGUAGGUGGGUAAUUAAGUCAGCGGUGAAAGUUUGUGGCUCAACCCUAAAAUUGCCGUUGAAACUGGUUGACUUGAGUAUAUUUGAGGUCGGCGGACUGCGUGGUGUCGCGGU
This 347-nucleotide ribosomal RNA is filed under the name uncultured bacterium. RNAcentral's name for it is "partial 16S ribosomal RNA". It matches the Rfam family "Bacterial small subunit ribosomal RNA", at positions 338 to 682 of the family's 1533-position model. The record is from RNAcentral.